RNAcentral lists this ribosomal RNA (450 nucleotides) under uncultured organism. Its description in RNAcentral is "partial 16S ribosomal RNA". It matches the Rfam family "Bacterial small subunit ribosomal RNA", at positions 334 to 800 of the family's 1533-position model. The record is from RNAcentral.
CACUCCUACGGGAGGCAGCAGUGGGGAAUAUUGGACAAUGGGCGCAAGCCUGAUCCAGCCAUGCCGCGUGAGUGAUGAAGGCCCUAGGGUUGUAAAGCUCUUUCACCGGAGAAGAUAAUGACGGUAUCCGGAGAAGAAGCCCCGGCUAACUUCGUGCCAGCAGCCGCGGUAAUACGAAGGGGGCUAGCGUUGUUCGGAAUUACUGGGCGUAAAGCGCACGUAGGCGGAUCGAUCAGUCAGGGGUGAAAUCCCAGGGCUCAACCCUGGAACUGCCUUUGAUACUGUCGAUCUGGAGUAUGGAAGAGGUGAGUGGAAUUCCGAGUGUAGAGGUGAAAUUCGUAGAUAUUCGGAGGAACACCAGUGGCGAAGGCGGCUCACUGGUCCAUUACUGACGCUGAGGUGCGAAAGCGUGGGGAGCAAACAGGAUUAGAAACCCCAGUAGUCCCAUGA